CCUGUUUAAAAUGCUAAAAACACAGAAAAAAAAACUCCUCAAGUAGAGUGUACUUUUUGUACACUUCAACUAUCAAAAAAUGGGACACGUUUGUUGGAACAUAUUAAAAAAUGCCUAAAAUGUCCAGAGGAAGUUAAAAUAAAGUAUGGAGUGACGGAGAGAAAACAACGAAACAUUGGACUAUUACAAACAAUACAUGAAAAAAGGGAGGAAAAAGUUAAAGAAAAACCGAAAUCACAAUCUAAAGAGGUGUCCGCAUUCAUGGAUAAAAUGACACCUGAACAAAAAGUAAAAG
Long non-coding RNA from Diabrotica virgifera virgifera (western corn rootworm), 295 nucleotides. RefSeq lists it as uncharacterized. NCBI's taxonomy places the organism in Eukaryota, Metazoa, Arthropoda, Insecta, Coleoptera, Chrysomelidae. The transcript is spliced from 2 exons. The record is from RefSeq and is a predicted model, not a curated record.